AGGAAAAUAGUUUAAUGGGUAGAAUAGUAGUUUCCAAAACUAUUGGUUAAGGGUUCAAGUCCCUUUUUUCCUG
RNAcentral lists this transfer RNA (73 nucleotides) under Actinomycetota bacterium. Its description in RNAcentral is "tRNA-Trp". It matches the Rfam family "tRNA". From Rfam's summary of the family: Transfer RNA (tRNA) molecules are approximately 80 nucleotides in length. Their secondary structure includes four short double-helical elements and three loops (D, anti-codon, and T loops). Lineage: Bacteria; Bacillati; Actinomycetota. The record is from RNAcentral.